Molecule: long non-coding RNA, 463 nt
Organism: Melanotaenia boesemani (Boeseman's rainbowfish)
Lineage: Eukaryota; Metazoa; Chordata; Actinopteri; Atheriniformes; Melanotaeniidae
Exons: 3
Source: RefSeq, a predicted model, not a curated record
UGGGAUUCAAGCCAUUUUCUUUACCUUUUUCUCUCCACGUCGGUUCUACUGCAGACCAGGUGUUAAACUGCCAGAUGUGUUGUACUACCUCGCAGUUUUUAACCAAUGAGCUCCUUCAUAUAACACAUUUAUUUUUCUUACAAUAGCCACAUUUACCUUUAGUUCCAGGAAGCUGCUGUUACACACCAUCAGUGAGCAUUAAAUUAUUACAGAGAUUUCCUUAUUUCAACCACCUUUCUUGAAAAUCAAACAAUAAACCAAGAGUAUGACAGGAUUUUAUGGUAAAAAGCUGCUUUUGGGGUCAUGAAUAAUCACCAUGAAGCUAGCAGUUUUUAAAUAACCAUAGUUUAAAGGGUAAGGCUGGCAUUGUUAUAUACUCAUAUUAAUGUAAACAAAUCCAAAGAAAAGGGACCAAAACUAGCAGUUAGUGACAUCAUACCAUGACACUCACAUCAGUGAUCCA